GACGAACGCUGGCGGCGUGCUUAACACAUGCAAGUCGAACGGAAAGGCCCUGCUUUUGUGGGGUGCUCGAGUGGCGAACGGGUGAGUAACACGUGAGUAACCUGCCCUUGACUUUGGGAUAACUUCAGGAAACUGGGGCUAAUACCGGAUAGGAGCUCCUGCUGCAUGGUGGGGGUUGGAAAGUUUCGGCGGUUGGGGAUGGACUCGCGGCUUAUCAGCUUGUUGGUUGGGUAGUGGCUUACCAAGGCUUUGACGGGUAGCCGGCCUGAGAGGGUGACCGGCCACAUUGGGACUGAGAUACGGCCCAGACUCCUACGGGAGGCAGCAGUGGGGAAUAUUGUACAAUGGGCGGAAGCCUGAUGCAGCAACGCCGCGUGCGGGAUGACGGCCUGCGGGUUGUAAACCGCUUUCGCCUGUGCCGAAGCGUGAGUGACGGUAAUGGGUAAAGAAGCACCGGCUAACUACGUG
This 468-nucleotide ribosomal RNA is filed under the name uncultured bacterium. RNAcentral's name for it is "partial 16S ribosomal RNA". It matches the Rfam family "Bacterial small subunit ribosomal RNA", at positions 28 to 507 of the family's 1533-position model. The record is from RNAcentral.